RNAcentral lists this unclassified non-coding RNA (2299 nucleotides) under Leishmania donovani. RNAcentral describes it as "gene:LdHU3.32.3220(CDS-product:mitochondrial_RNA_ binding_complex_1_subunit_putative)". Lineage: Eukaryota; Euglenozoa; Kinetoplastea; Trypanosomatida; Trypanosomatidae. The record is from RNAcentral.
UGUCCCUGUGCCAGAUAGCGCAGACUCGAGGCGGGCCGUAGACAAGGAUGGAGCUCACUGGGCCAUUACUGCAUCGCUCGCGGAUGCGUGCCCUUGCUUCUCCCAUGCACUUUAGUAGCACCUCACUUCGGUGGACGAGGGCGACGUUGUCGCUCAUGCGCGGCUGGACGGGUUUGCAAGCUGCUUCUUCCCCGGCGUGGGCGAGUACCAGCAGGUGCUGCUGCUACCCAUCGACGCAGAUGGUGUCUUGCCGCUGGCAAUCCACCGGGGACGGGUACGGGUACAUGACAGACGACUCCUCCGGGCUCCAGUCGGAGCUUUCGCACGCGCUCGAGGGAGAGGGCAACCUGUCCGUAGAUGCGAUGCUCUCUCAGUCUCUCGUACAGGCUGACCUGCAGACGCCGAGUGCGCGCAUUCAGCUGAAGAAGAUCGAGCGGCCUCCGGGUCGAUUCGAUCUUCUGACCAAUUCGCUGGUGUACAGCUGGCAGACAACAGCGGCGCAGGCGCGCAAGGUCAUCGGGCCGAUGCGGGAGUGGGCCUCGGAGCUCAAGUACCGCACCGGCGUCCACCUAGAGGUCGAGCCCACCAACCCGACGCGGCUCGGCGUGCCGGAGGAGGAGGGCGGCUACGCAGCAGCGGAUGAUGUGGAGCUGACGGUGUACCUCUUCGGCAGCGAACGUGGCAUCUUCAACUGCCGGCAGCUCAUGGAGACGGCGCUCGAUCAGAACCCCGCCUACGUGCGCUUGGCCGUGUUCCGGCGAAGGCCAGGUAAGGGCGUCAACACAAGCACUGCCGCGGCGCCGAGGCCACAGGAGGACGUGGAGUGGUUGCUGCUGCGCCGCAUCAAUCGCGAUCUGCGCCCGCCAGAUAUCCCGCCGAUCUCACUAAAGACACCUGGAAAGUGGACACUGCUGUACGAGCAUUACAAGGAGGCGGCGAUUCGAACCCUGUGGGAAGAGACGGGCAUCACCGUCGAGGCAGGGAACGUGUACCCUACCGCGGUACUGUGCCAGGACAACCCGAUCUACUACUGGCGUGUGCCGGUGCACUACUUCCUGGCUGAGGUGCCCUACGACGUACAGGUGCUUGGCCCGCAAGUGGGCCUGAACACGUACAUGCAUCACUGGGACACGUCGCUGCUGCGCCAGUCACCAGACCCCAUCGAUCGCGCGUGGGCUCAGCUGGCAGACCCGGAGACCGGCUGCGCCUGGAUGAAGCAGCCGAUGAUCGAUGAGCUGCAGCGCCCGCUGCGAGGGGAGAACUACAUGGCAACCCGCUACACCCCGCCGCCGUACUCACAGCUGAACCAUGCGCUGGGGUUGGCGGUGCCAGCAGAGGCGGCGGGAGAGGCAAGUGCUGCGGACUCGGCUCCGUCGGCUGCCGCAACCGUUGAAGGAGGAGAAGCGCAGGACGAUGUGAAGGAAGGUGAUAAUGCCGCUCCCUCUGCUGAUGCCGAUGCAUCCUUGUCGAAUGACAAGCCAAGCCCUUAGUUGUGUCAAAGUCUGUCUUGGCGCAUGAGGUGGGAGGCGGAUCUUCUCUUGAUCUUGGGCCUCGCCUCUUCCUUCACCGCUCCCACGGUGUCGGAGCGCCUCCACCCCUCUUUUUGUGUUUCCGGUGUGGAUGUGCAUGUGCUUGCGUGUGCGUGUGUGCGCUCUAAGGUGAAGCCGCCUGAUUCUCAAGUACACAGCGCUUCAUGAAGGCAAGCGGCGCAGGAAAAGCCGAGAGCGGAGAACGACGGGCUCGUUGGUAGUGGGGUAUCGCGGGCUAGGUCGCGGAGAGUUGGGCGCUGAAGUGGGACGAGGUUAGAGCACAGUGUGUUCACUUCCUUGUUCGCGCUCAACCUCGAUGCGUCUCCCAGCCUGCGUACACAGACGCACAACACUACUAUUCCUCUCUCUAGGGUCGUCAAGUCAUCUUCUCUAAAGAAGCGGCUGUGCAGGAUAUGCCUGGGUGGAUGCUCCAGCAUCGCCGCUGUCAGUCUUAGCCUCGACGCCGGGCCUUGCCCCCAUUUUUCCUCAUCUUGUCUUCCUCUCCCGUGUACUAGUACCCCUUGGAACAGACGGCACCGGCCCUAUUUUUUUUUUUUGCAUAUAUCACACAUGUCUUCGCCACUGCCACCUUCUCGCCUUCUCCUGCCUCCUUCUCCCUACCCCUGCUACUCUGUGCGCCUGACUCCGUCCUUCCCUGCCCACAUCUGCUGUGCGGCUGCGGGCGUCGAUCUUCGCGAACUGCGUCCCAUCUGCGCGUUUGCGUGUCCGCGUGCACCGGUUUGGUGGUCGGUAUCCUUGUGAAUGCACAG